Molecule: unclassified non-coding RNA, 5102 nt
Filed under: Ceratitis capitata (Mediterranean fruit fly)
Lineage: Eukaryota; Metazoa; Arthropoda; Insecta; Diptera; Tephritidae
Description: serine/threonine-protein kinase 10, transcript variant X13
Source: RNAcentral
GUCAUCAAAAUAUGAAAAUUAUUAAAUAUUCGUUGUGUUGAAUCUAUGUAGCGUGUGUUUUGUGUACAAAAUUAUUGUGAAAAGAAGUUUUGUCGUACAAAAUUAUAGGUGUAUUGUGGGUGCAAAUCCUUACAUGUUCGGCAGAUUGCUUACGCUGCGAACCGAAAAUUUCGUAUGUUUUAUAAGAAAAUGUUGUAAAGGCUCGAAAGUGGAAAUUUUUUAAACCCGCACGCUCACAAAGGCAUGAAGACCCAAUUUUAAAGCCGAUAAUUAAAUUAGAGAAGAGAGGAAAAAUCGUUGAGAACAUUGAACGACCCGACCAACAAGGCAAACGGUGGUAGGGGAACACGUGCGCCACAACAACUACACAGCUAUAGCUCUAGCAACUACUGCGACUGCUGCUGUUGGCGCUGCUAGUGCUAUUAGUACGAGAAGAAGGGUGACCGAUUUUACUUAUUGGAAUUGAGUGUGAACUUGAUGGAAAUGUUUUUGGUUUGAUUUGAGAAUUGAAAAAAAAAGAAAACUAAGACAAACCAAGUAGAAAGAAAGAACUUGAACAGAUAGAGAAUUAGCUACCGAAAAGCAAUUAAGCUGCUGCCGCAUGGAAAAAAAUACCAGACAGGAAAAAAGCAACAAUAACAACAUCAACAUGAAAACGAAUCAAACUACUUUUGUGUGUUAAAAGCAAAAUGUAGUGCCUUUGGAGUGUAAAACUGCUGUGGAUAUUUUAUUUUUAUUUUUUUUAUUGUGUAUGUAACAUUAAUGUAACAUACCCGUGUAACCCAUACGACCGAAAAUAAAUAGUUAUUAAUUAUAUACAGUAAAUAAGUAUAACAUAAUGUCGUUCAUAAAUAAUCUUAAGAAGGUGUUCCACCUUGGCGGUGGCGAGGCGAAGAAGAAACGUCUUUAUAAUAACAUCAAAAUGGACACUGAUCCAACGGAGUUUUGGGAGAUGGUAGGUGAGUUGGGUGAUGGCGCUUUUGGCAAGGUGUAUAAGGCGCAACACAAGGAACAAAAACGCUUUGCAGCGGCAAAGUUGUGCACUCUAGAAGAUGAGGAGAAUCUAAGCGAUCAUAUGGUUGAAAUUGAUAUCUUAUCAGAGAUAAAACAUCCAAAUAUAGUGGAAUUAUACGAAGCAUUCUCAAUAGAAGAUAAGCUGUGGAUGUUAAUUGAGUAUUGCGAUGGCGGAGCAUUAGACAGCAUUAUGGUGGAAUUGGAGAAGCCGUUAACUGAACCACAAAUAGCCUACGUGUGCCGACACAUGACUGAAGGUCUUAAUUUUCUGCAUAAAAAUAAAGUAAUACAUCGUGAUUUAAAGGCUGGUAAUGUUUUGCUAACCAUGGAGGGCGGUGUUAAGUUAGCUGAUUUCGGCGUAUCGGCUAAAAAUAAGCAUACUCUCCAAAAGCAUGACACUUUCAUAGGCACACCCUAUUGGAUGGCACCGGAGCUAGUGCUUUGUGAAACAUUUCGAGAUAAUCCUUAUGACUUAAAAGUGGAUAUCUGGUCAUUGGGCAUAACAUUAAUUGAGUUAGCGCAAAUGGAACCACCAAAUAGUGAAAUGUCACCGAUGCGUGUUUUAUUGAAAAUACAAAAGAGUGAACCGCCAACACUGGAUCAGCCAUCAAAAUGGAGUAAAGAAUUCGUUGAGUUUCUCAAAAAAUCAUUGGUCAAAGAUCCACAACAACGUCCCGCUACAGAUAUUUUAUUACAACAUAGAUUCAUAAAUUGUGAAUUAGACGCUAAACCCAUAAAAGACUUAUUAUUAGAAUAUAAAGCUGAAGUUGUUGAAGAAGUUGUCGAUGAUGAUGCUGAGGAACCCCGCAACUCGGCGCUCCGGCUCGACCUGGACGAUGACUCUGCCUCUUUGCAGAGCCAAGAUAUUGACAAACUUCCAGGUACCCCAACAUCAGUAUCUAUGGACUCUAAAGAACCAAAUCAAACAAAUAGUAUACCACAAAGUAAACUAUCACAACCGCAACAACCACAACAAGUUGGAGCUAAAGAAAAUAAAGAAAACGCUUCACCUGUUUUGCAAAAAAGUCUUGAAAAUAAUCAAAUAUCAAAAUCUUCUAAAGCGACAGCAAAGGAAGAUGAACAAAAAAUUAGCGUUAAUAAUACGCCAAAGGAUAAUAAUACGAGUAACAACAACAAGCCGCUUUCUGCCAGUGCCGUGGUUAGUAAGCAGCAAGCCGUUGUUGCUAACGAAGCUGAUAAUAGUCUUCCGGAGAAAGGCGUUGAUGCUGAGAGGAAGAUUACCAAAAAAGAGAAGGGUAAGGCACCACCCCCACCAUCUGCAGCCAUUGCUGCUGCUGCUGCUGCCGCUGCCGCCAGCGCUGUUAUUUCCAAAACGCCAGAAGCACCACCAGCACCAGCAGCAAAUGCACGCACAGAACCGGAACGCCGCAUCACAGAUGAAGCGACGCCCAUUGAGCUGACUCAAAAUGUGGAAAUCGAUGUCAAUCAAGCGACGUCAGAGGCAUACAACGCUAACGAGCAUCAAGAGCAAGCGCAUGCCUUGCCAUCACCACCAUCGCCAACCACAUCAUCAGCUGCGGUAUCGGUUAAUUCCACUUCGUCGUCAUCGGUUAAGAGUGGGGCCAUGUUAAGCUCCAGCACAUCGCUAAUUACCAUUAAUAGCGAGGCUUCGCCAUCGAGCACACCCACGCGUUCCUUUGGCAAUCAGGCACAGCAACAAAGUGUGGUACAGCCAAAUAGCUUGGAAGCUGGCGUUAGUCAAAUAAGGGUGGUCACCAGCACGCACCCACCAGUUAUCAUAGACAAUUCUGUGCCGCCUGCUGCUGCUCAGAGUGAAGUGAUUAUCGUUUCAAAUGAUUUGAAUAAAAGCACACACGUGCCAGAAUCCUCGACAGAUGAUGACUUCACUUCGUUCGAUGACAGUCUGGGCGAUUCACCGCUAUCGCCACGACAAUCAUCGAUGAUAGUGGCAGUUUGCGAGAAAGGCAGCGUUGAAGAGACGGACAAGGCUGACAUUAUGGGCAAGUCGGCGCGCGCACGCAAAUUGGAUGAAAGUGAAGUGCUUAUUGUUAGCCCAUCUUUCGUUGACGACGACUCGGCCUAUAAUACAGCCACUGGCAGUCACGAUCACAGCGAACAUCUAAUGGACACCAGUCACGUUUCGGUUGUCACUGUCGGCGAUGAGAUAAAAGUCAAGGAUAGCAGUCACUUAAAUAACGAUCAAUAUGAUACAACACUUAGCAACGAUAACAACAAUCUAAAUAACCAACGACCAUAUGUUAAGAAUCACCAAAAUGGCCAAAUAAUUACAGGCACACCCACAGAAGAUGUAAAUAUUAUUAUUAACCGUAAUACGCCACAAGACAUUAGUGCCGGCAAGCGGCCGUCACCGGACAAUAGCGUAGGCUCCAUGGAUUCACGUACACUGAGCGAAAGCGGUUCGCUACGCUCGAGUGGCGGUGUCGUACGACGGGCCGUCGGCUUGAAUAUUGCAACGGUAGAUCAAAGUGACGUGGAAAGUAUCGGCACCACAACUAGUCAUGAUAGUCGUAAUGAGGCGGAGGCUCCCAUAAUGGGUACGAAAAUACCCGAGGACGAGGAGGUGGUCAUACGACGAAAACAAGGAGCGCCAAAGAUAGUUGCACCAGCCGGGCCGACUAAAGAAGAAAUCGAAUUACGUAAUCUACGUAAGAAGACACGAAAACGUACACGAAAAUUCGAAAUCGACGGUGUACAAAUGACGACCACCACAAGCCGUGUCAUCUACGGUGAUGAGGAGUCUGGUCGACUCUACGACGAUCAUGUGUUCCGUAAGCAGGAACUGCGUGAAUUGAAAAUGUUGCAAAAACAAGAGAAGAAACAACAAAACGAUUUGCAAUUGAAGGAGCAAAUUGCGCGUGAACAGCAGGAUCGUCGGUUCGAACAAGAACGUAUAUCGUUGGAAAAGACUUACGAAGCUGAUAUGGAUACUUUGGCAAGGCAACAGAAGCAAUUAAUUGAGCGGACCGAGCAGGCGCAGGAGCAUGAGUUGCGUACAUCCUCCAAACGCAUACGUUCCGAACAAGAACAGGAACUGAAAAUCUUCCGUGAGAAUCUUAAACAAGAAAUCCGUUUGCUUAAACAGGAAGUUGACUUACUGCCCAAAGAUAAACGUAAAGAUGAAUUCAAGCAACGUCGUUCCGCCAUGGAACUAGAUCAUGAGGAGAAGGAACGCGCCUUCUUGGAUUCGCUUAAGGAACGCCAUGAAUUGCUCUUGCGGCGAUUAAGCGAAAAACAUCGCGAUCAUCUUGCCACAAUUAAUCGCAAUUUCCUACAACAAAAACAAAAUGCCAUGCGUACACGCGAAGCGUUACUUUGGGAGUUGGAAGAGAAGCAGUUGCACGAACGCCAUCAAUUGGCUAAACGACACGUCAAGGAGCUAUGCUUCAUGCAACGCCAUCAAAUGAUUGUGCGGCACGAGAAAGAGUUGGAUCAGGUGAAGAAGAUGUUGCAACGCAAAGAGGAGGAUAUGAUCAAGAAACAGGCGUUGGAGAAACGUGCACUGCCCAAGCGUAUACGUGCCGAACGUAAAGCGCGCGAUUUGAUGUUCCGUGAGUCAUUGCGCAUAUCAACAAAUCUAGAUCCGGAAGUUGAAAGAGAACGUCUAAAGAAGUUCCAAGAGCAAGAGAAGAAACGUUACACCCAGGAAGAGCGCCGAUUUGAAAUUAAACAUCAGAAACAAUUGGAAGAGCUACGCGCUACACGCGAGGGGGCGAUAAGAGAACUUGAACAACUGCAGAAUGAGAAACGUAAGGCAUUGGUCGAGCACGAACAAGCCAAGCUUACGGAUAUCGAUGAGCGCUUGAAGGCUGAGUUGCGUGACUGGAAGGAGCAAUUAGUACCUAGAAAGCAGACAUUUUGGUGGUCAGCACUUGUGGCAAUGAGUGAGUGGUGAAUUCCUUUCACAAGGCUUUUUUAGAGUGUCGGCGCUUGGUGGAGCUUGGCUGAAAUUUUUAUGUUGAAAUUGAAAAAGCGUAAAUACAACAGCUGUCAAAAUCAAAUGGGGUUGCCGUACGCUCAAAUGUUUCUAGCGACUGAAAAUGCCGUGUUGGUAAACGAGUAAAGGAAAUUAAAGAAAAUAAAGGAUA